UGGUUGUGAAGGCUGAAGAUCAAAUUGCCAAGUGGAAUCCCAUCCAUCACGGGGACCAACACCAGCCAUCUGCUCCCCACCACCACCUUCAAAGAGCGCAUGGAAGCUGGGCAGCUGGCUGGCAGCUGGAAGGAGGGCAAGAUGGCCUGGCCAG
RNAcentral lists this long non-coding RNA (154 nucleotides) under Sus scrofa (pig). RNAcentral describes it as "lncRNA (ENSSSCG00015080006.1, ENSSSCG00040064182.1)". The record is from RNAcentral. Lineage: Eukaryota; Metazoa; Chordata; Mammalia; Artiodactyla; Suidae.